AGGAUAAACGCUGGCGGCGUGCCUAACACAUGCAAGUCGAACGAGCUUUCUGUCUUCGGAGAGAGAGCGAGUGGCGGACGGGUGAGCAACACGUGGGUGACCUACCUUCCAGUGAGGAAUACCGGCGAGAAAUCGCCGACAAUACCGCAUGCGCUUCCCUUCGUGAGGGAGAGAAGCAAAGUCUCGCGCAAGUGAGACGCUGGAAGAUGGGGCCCCGCGGCCGAUUAGCUAGUUGGUGGGGUAACGGCCUACCAAGGCGACGAUCGGUAGCUGGUCUGAGAGGACGAUCAGCCACACUGGGAUUGAGAACGGCCCAGACUCCUACGGGGGGCAGCAGUGAGGAAUUUUCGGCAAUGGGGGCAACCCUGACCGAGCAACGCCGCGUGCAGGAAGACGGUUUUCGGAUCGUAAACUGCUUUUCUCUGGGAAGAGUAAGGACGGUACCAGAGGAAUCAGCCCGGCUAACUACGCGCCAGCAGCCGCGGU
This 486-nucleotide ribosomal RNA is filed under the name uncultured bacterium. RNAcentral describes it as "SSU rRNA". It matches the Rfam family "Bacterial small subunit ribosomal RNA", at positions 26 to 521 of the family's 1533-position model. The record is from RNAcentral.